RNAcentral lists this ribosomal RNA (401 nucleotides) under uncultured bacterium. RNAcentral's name for it is "bacterial SSU rRNA". It matches the Rfam family "Bacterial small subunit ribosomal RNA", at positions 32 to 423 of the family's 1533-position model. The record is from RNAcentral.
AAUCAACGCUGGCGGCGUGCCUCAGACAUGCAAGUCGAACGAUUAAAGCUCUCUUCGGAGAGUGCAUAGAGUGGCGCACGGGUGAGUAACACGUAAGUAAUCUACCUUCGAGUGGGGAAUAACGUCCGGAAACGGACGCUAAUACCGCAUAAUGCAGCGGCAUCAUAAGAUGACAGUUGUUAAAGGAGCAAUUCGCUUGAAGAGGAGCUUGCGGCAGAUUAGCUAGUUGGUAAGGUAAUGGCUUACCAAGGCUACGAUCUGUAACCGGUCUAAGAGGACGGUCGGUCACACUGACACUGAAUAACGGGUCAGACUCCUACGGGAGGCAGCAGUCGGGAAUUUUGGGCAAUGGGCGAAAGCCUGACCCAGCAACGCCGCGUGAAGGAUGAAGUCUUUCGGGA